Molecule: non-coding RNA, 7594 nt
Organism: Malus domestica (apple)
Lineage: Eukaryota; Viridiplantae; Streptophyta; Magnoliopsida; Rosales; Rosaceae
Source: RefSeq, a predicted model, not a curated record
GUUCGAUAACACGUGGAUUAAGACAAUUGGGCUUGCAAAGGUAUUAAUAAAUUAGAACUAUUUCAAAAUAAAAAAUCACAAAAAAUUAGAUCUUUUAGGUUAUAAAAUUUGACCUAGGUUAUAAAAAUUAGAUAUAUUCGCUGCAAAAUCAAAUGUAUGAGUUUGUCCGACUCCGUCAAAACGCGAGCGGUUCCCUUCGAAGCUUGGCGGCUGUGGCACCACAUUUGGAUUCCUACUCCUACCUGCAUUUGUGAGAGGCAUAAAUCCUAGUCUCCUAGCACCGCCUACACCACCGCAGCUCAGACUUGUUCUCUCAUCUCUGACGCACGGCCUCUCAGUCUCUCUAGAUGCUCCACUAUUUGUUCGCGACUUCAGCCUGUCUCACCUGCUUCCAGUGACCUCUCAUCCAGUUCCUUUCAGCUUUCAGAAAACUAUAGCUCAAUGGAGUGGGCAAUGCACAUAGUAGAGGAAGUCCAGCAAGAAAGGAACCGCAAUAAUCUUCCUGAAAAGGUAUUUUGUGCAAGUGUUAUUCCUUACUGGUACAAGUUCAAAGAGGGCGCAUCCGCAUUUGAUGGGUUAAUGCGAUUAGGCCACAGCAAAGAAAAAAAGGUGACAUAUCCUUAAACACAGGCCUAUAGCAUUGUCGCAAACACCUCGGGCUUAAAUCACCACGCAAUCCUUAAGGUUUGGUUUGCAACAUAUUGCAAUACAAGAAACAUGUGGCUCGUGUGCUACGAUCUUUUUGAUUGCUAUCUGAGACCUUGGUUAAACUGGAAAAAAUGCUACUAAAGUAGUGCCACUAGAACAGAGUAGUGAUGUUCCCAAUCAUCGGUGGUGCAAUUUUAUACCGUAAGUGUUCUAUAUUCGUGACCUAAUUUAUUAUUUUUAGUUUUGAAAAUGGUGUUGCAUUUUAAGUCAAAAUGUGAUUUCUCUUUUCAUUUGUUCUUUGUUGUACAUAUGAUGUGAAUAUAGGAUGAUUUUAGAGGUAGCCCACUACAUGCACAGUCAUGGAAGUUAUCAUGGAGAUUUGAGUUGCAUUGAUAGUUUCGUGAUGGUGGGGAGAAAGGUCAAGCUAGUUAACAUCGAGAAUGCGUUUCAUGACAUGCAUGGCCCACGAGCGUUGUCACACAAGCUUUCAAAUCUAAAGGCAUUUCGAGAUUUAUUAAGGGAUGAGUUGAAGCCCGAAAUUGAUUACGAGGAUUGAGGCCUCUUUUUGGGUAUUUUGAUAAGUAUUUUACACUAAUAGUGAAUCAAGGGUAAGAUCUUUAAUCUACGGUUGUGUUCAUUCGUGUUAUGGUACAUGUUAAUUUUGUCAAAAAUAGUUGAUUGUUUGUUUUUCUCCUUAUGGUUUGUUCAAUUACGAUUAUUUCGUGUGGAGGCUAAUCACACAUCCGUACCUUUUGAGCCCCGAAGAACGACUUGGGUACUUUUUCAAAGUGCAAUGGGCCAUUGUACAUAGGACCAUAUUGCUUCCUUCAACGGUGCAACUCAUUUUGGAUGACAACUUUGUAUGUGUUGAUGGCUUUGGUCAAUUCACAUAUUGGGUGGCAAAGAUUGGAAGCAAUUCGGUAUUGGUUCAUAUCAGAGACUAUAAUAAGGUGCUUAAUCCUUUGACCAUCAUAAGCAUCCUUUUUAUAGUCUCUGGUAUGGACUAAUACUGAAUUGUUUCCAAUCUUUGCCACCCAAUCUGUGAAUUGACCAAAGCCAUCAACACAUGCAAAGUUGUCAUCCAAAAUGUGUUGCACCGUUGAAGGAAGCAAUAUGGUCCUAUGUACCAUGUCCCAUUGCACUUUGAAAAGAAGUAUCCAAGUUGUUCUUUAGGGCUCAAAAGGUACGGAUGUGUGAUUGGCCUCCACACGAAAUAAUCGUAACUGGACAAACCAUAAGGAGAAAAACAAACAAUUAACUAUUUUUGACAAAAUUAACAUGUACCAUAACACAAAUAAACACAACCGUAGAUUAAAGAUCUUACCCUUGAUUCACUAUUAGUGUAAAGUACUUAUCAAAAUACCCCAAAAAGAGGUCUCGAUCCUCGCAAUCAAUUUUGGGCUUCAACUCAUCCCUUAACAAAUCUCGAAACGCCUUUAGGUCUGAAAGCUUGUGUGACAACGCUAGAGGGCCAUGCAUGCCGUGAAACUCAUUCUUGAUGUUAACUAGCUUGACCUUUUUCCCCACUAUCAAUGCAACUCAAAUCUUCAUGAUAACUUCCAUGACCGUGCAUGUAGUGGCCAACCUCUAAAACCAUCCUAUAUUCACAUCACAUGUACAACAAAGAACAAACGAGAGAAAACAAAAUUGGACUUAACAUGCAACACCAUUUUCAAAACUAAAUAGAAUAAAUGAGGUCACAAUAUGGAACACUUACUGUAUAAAAUUGCACCACCAUGGAUUGAGAACAUCACUACUCCGUUCUAGUGGCACUACUUUAGUAGUAUUAUUUUUCCGGUUUAACCAAGGUCUCAGAUAGCAAUCGAAACGAUCGUAGCACGAGCCACAUGUUUCCUUGUGUUGCAAACCAAACCCUAAGGAUUGUGUCAAAACACAAGCGGUUCCCUUGGCAGCUGUGGCACCACUUUUGGAUUCCUACUCCUACCUGCAUUUGUGAGAGGCAUAAAUCCUAGUCUCCUUACACCACCGCUCGACUUGUUCUCUCAUCUCUGACGCACAACCUCUCUAGUAUUUGUUCUCGACUUCAGCCUGUCUCACCUGCUUCCAGUGACCUCUCAUCUAGUUCCUUUCAGAAAACUAUAGCUCAAGGAGUGGGCAAUGCAUAUAGUAGAGGAAGUCCAGCAAGAAGGAACUGCAAUAAUCUUCCAGAAAAGGUAAGCAAAUGUUUAAUUAUGGCCAUAAUGUGUUGUGUGUUGGGAAAUGUCAUGUUGGCUUAUAUGUUAUUAGGUAUUUUGUGCAAGUGUUAUUCCUUACUGGUAUAAGUUCAAAGAGGGCGCAUCCACAUUUGAUAGGUUAAUUCAAUUAGGCAACGGCAAAGAAAAGAAGGUGACAUUUGUGAUAUAUCCUUAAACACAAGCCAAGAGCAUUGUCGCAAACACCUUGGACUUAAAUCACGAUGCAAUCCUUAUGGUUUGGUUUGCAACAUAUUGCAAUACAAGAAAUAUGUGGCUCGUGUGCUACGAUCGUUUCGAUUGCUAUCUGAGACCUUGGUUAAACCGGAAAAAUAAUGCUACUAAAGUAGUGCCACUAGAACAUAAUAGCGAUGAUCUCAAUCCAUGGUGGUGCAAUUUUAUAUAGUAAGUGUUCCAUAUUCGUGACCUCAUUUAUUAUAUUUAGUUUUGAAAAUGGUGUUGCAUGUUAAGUCAAAAUGUGAUUUAUCUUUUCGUUUGUUCUUUGUUGUACAUGUGAUGUGAAUAUAGAAUGGUUUUAAAGGCUGCCCACUACAUGCACAAUCAUGGAAGUUAUCAUGGAGAUUUGAGUUGCAUUGGUGGUUUCGUUAUGGUGGGGAAAAAUGUCAAGCUAGUUAACAUCGAAAAGGGGUUUCACGGCAUGCAUGGCCUACGAGCAUUGUCGCACAAACUUUCAAAACCUAAAGGUGUUUCAAGAUUUGUUAAGGGAUGAGUUGAAGCCCGAAAUUGAGUGCGAGGAUCAAGACCUCUUCUUUCAACUGAUCAUUUUACAAAUCUCGAAAUGCCUUAAGGCUCAAAGCUUGUGCAACAACGCCCGUGGACCAUGUAUGCCGUGAAACCCCUACUCGAUGUUAACUAGCUUGACUUUUUUCCCCACCAUCAUGAAACUACCAAUGCAACUCAAAUCUUCAUGAUAACUUUCAUAACUGUGCAUGUAGUGGGUAGCCUCUAAAACCGUCUAUAUUCACAUUACAUGUACAACAAAUAACAAACGAAAAGAUAAAUCACAUUUUGACUUAACAUGCAACACUAUUUUCAAAACUAAAUAGAAUUAAUGAGGUCACGAAUAUGGAACACUUACUGUAUAAAAUUGCACCACCAUGGAUUGAGAUCAUCACUACUCUGUUCUAGUGGCACUACUUUAGUAGCAUUAUUUUUCCGGUUUAACGAAGGUCUCAGAUAGCAGUCGAAACGAUCGUAGCACAUGAGCCACAUGUUUCUUGUAUUGCAAUAUGUUGCAAACCAAAUCCUGAGGAUUGUGUCGUGAUUUAAGCUCGAGGUGUUUGCAACAAUGCUCUUGGCUUGUGUUUCAAGAUAUGUCACCUUCUUUUAUUUGUCGUCACCUAAUCGAAUUAACGCAUCAAAUGCGGAUGCGCCCUCUUUGAACUUGUACUAGUAAGGAAUAACACUUGCACAAAUUACUUGCAAUAACAUAUAAGCCUACAAGACAUUUGCUAUUGUUGUCCAGCUUGCACAUGGUAUUUGCUUAUAGAGCCCUAAUCCUGUUGUUUGGGGCCCUGAAAAUUCUGAGCUUCCUUAAGUAAAUCUUUAAUCUCUAUUUUCUUGAUAUGGCAUUUGCUACUGUUGUCCAGCUUGCACAUGCUAAGAGGGAGAGAAAAGCUUGUAAAUCUGUUUGUCUAAUCCCUACGUGUUAAUGUUUUCAAAACCUAUUUUAAUUUCUUUCCCGCUUUUAUCUUUAGGAUUAAAAAUAUAGUGCAAAGGAAAUGGAAUGGACGUUGCACAUACUAGAGACAAAGAAACAAACCACAAUGAACUCUAAGAUAUGGCAAGCAAAUGUUUAUUUAUGGCCAUAAUGUGUUGGGAAAUGCCAUGUUGGCUUAUAUGUUAUUACAAGUAUUUUGUGCAAGUGUUAUUCCUUACCGGUAUAAGUUCAAAGAGGACGCAUCCGCAUUUGAUGGGUUAAUUCAAUUAGGCGAUGACAAAGAAAAGAAGGUUACAUUUGUGACAUAUCCUGAAACACAAGCCAAGAGCAUUGUCACAAACACAUCGGGCUUAAAUCACGACGCAAUCCUCAGGGUUUGGUUUGCAAAAUAUUGCAAUACAAGAAACAUGUGGCUCGUUUGCUACGAUCGUUUCGAUUGCUAUAUGAGACCUUGGUUAAACCGGAAAAAUAAUGCUACUAAAGUAGUGCCAUUAGAACAUAGUAGUGAUGAUCUCAAUUCAUGGUGAUGCAAUUUUAUUCAGUAAGUGUUCCAUAAUCGUGACCUCAUUUAUUAUAUUUAGUUUUGAAAAUGGUGUUGCAUGUUAAGUCAAAAUGUGAUUUAUCUUUUUGUUUGUUCUUUGUUAUACAUGUGAUGUGAAUAUAGGAUGGUUUUAGAGGCUACCCACUACAUACAUAGUCAUGGAAGUUAUCAUGGAGAUUUGAGUUGCAUUGGUAGUUUCGUGAUCGUGGGGAAAAAGGUCAAGCUAGUUAACAUCGAAAAGGAGUUUCACAGCAUGCAUGGCCUACGAGCGUUGUCGCACAAGCUUUCAAAACCUAAGGGUGUUUCAAGAUUUGUUAAGGGAUGAGUUGAAGCCUGAAAUUGAGUACGAGGAUCGAGACCUCUUCUUUCAACUGAUCAUUUUACAAAUCUCGAAAUGCCUUAAAGUCUCAAAGCUUCUGCAACAACGCUCGUGGACCAUGUAUGCUGUGAAACCCCUUCUCGAUGUUAAGUAGCUUCACCCUUUUCCCCACCAUCACGAAACUACCAAUGCAACUCAAAUCUCCAUGAUAACUUUCAUAACUGUGCAUUUAGUGGGCAGCCUCUAAAACCAUCCUAUAUUCACAUCACAUGUACAACAAAUAACAAACGAAAAGAUAAAUCACAUUUUGACUUAACAUGCAACACUAUUUUCAAAACUAAAUAGAAUAAAUGAGGUCACGAAUAUGGAACACUUACUGUAUAAAAUUGCACAACCAUGGAUUGAGAUCAUCACUACUCUGUUCUAGUGGCACUAUUUUAGUAGCAUUAUUUUUCCGGUUUAACAAAGGCCUCAGAUAGUAGUCGAAACGAUCGUAGCACACAAGCCACAUGUUUCUUGUAUUGCAAUAUUUUGCAAACCAAACCCUGAGGAUUGCAUCGUGAUUUAAGCCCGAGGUGUUUGUGACAAUGCUCUAGGCUUGUGUUUCAGGAUAUGUCACAAAUGUAACCUUUUUUUCUUUGUCGUCGCCUAAUCGAAUUAACGCAUCAAAUGCGGAUGCGCCCUCUUUGAACUUGUACCAGUAAGGAAUAACAUUUGCACAAAUUACAUGCAAUAACAUAUACGCCUACAUGACAUUUCCCAACACAUUAUGGCCGUAAAUAAACAUUUGCUCCGUAUCUUAGAGUUCAUUGUGGUUUGUUUCUUCGUCUCUAGUAUGUGCAAUGUCCAUUCCAUUUCCUUUGCACUAUAUUUUUAAUCCUAAAGAUAAAAGCGGGAAAGAAAUUAAAACAGGUUUUGAACAUUAACACGUAGAGAUUAGCCAAACAGAUUUACAAGCUUUUCUCUCCUGCUUACCAUGUGCAAGCUGGACAACAGUAGCAAAUGCCAUAUCAAGAAAAUAGAGAUUAAAGAUUUAUUUAAGGAAGGUCAGAAUUUUCAGGGCCCCAAGCAACAGGAUUAGGGCUCUAUAAGAGAACAAGUUCAAACCUCCUAAAUUAAUUCAUAUUUAUUUAUUCAUUUAUGUAGGAAAUUAAAUCUCAUGUACCUUGGUUGGUUUAAUUAUAUUUAUUGAUUCUUAUUGUUGGUGUACAAGCAAAAAAUUGGUUUUGGGAAAAACUUUCCAAACCUUAACUCACAGCUUCAAGAACAAGGUCACUAAAACAAGUAAAUGCAUGAUUAUCCUCGAAAUGACUAUUCGAAAUUUAAAGACAAUUCCAAUCCAUACGGAAAAAAAAGGUCGUACCCAGUGCACAAGGCUCCCGCUUUACGCAGGGUCUGGGAGAGGUGAAUGUCGUACCCAAUCCAUACAAAAAAAAAAGGUCGUACCCAAUCCAUACGAAAGAUAGAAGAAAAAAUUAUUAAACCUUUCACAAAGACCUAGCUAACAGGAAGGAGAGGAGAGGAGAAAAUGGUACCUGGAAACGUCAAACAAGUUGGGGUUGUAGGUUUCACCAUUGAGAAACCCCAACACUCAGGUCUGCAUUUCAUUUCUCAACUUUGGAACUCUCUAGUCUAUUAAACAAGUUGGGGUUCUAGGUUUUACAAGCCUAUAUUAACACAACAUUUUCCCACAAAACUGAAACGUCAAACAAAUUUCUGAGGAAACAAACAGUGGAUGUGUAGAGAGAGAGAUACCAUUGUUGUGGAUUGGAGGGUCGCUGGCUGUGAAGAGCAAAACGGCUGCUACUUUCUUCUUCUCGAGCAAUAGAAGAAAUCUAAUUUAUUUAUCUAUGGAUGAAAGUUUAAAUGUAUGUCACGUGAUGCGCUGUAAUUGGUUGAAAAUCUUAUCAAAAAUUAUCCACAAAGAUUCUGAAUAGAUAGCGUCAUGUGGUGCGACAUGAUUGGUUAAAAAUCUAUCUACAAAAUUCUUACUCGAUCAUGAAACAUGGCAUUACGAGAUUGGUUAAAAAAUUUAUCGAAAAUUUAUCCACUAAAAUUGUAAUUUCAAGUAACCACACCCGGAGUGACGGAUUUAGUUAAAAAUAAACAUGAAAUUAUCUUUUAUUAUAUUUUUACUCGCAUCUAUCCAAGUCCUCAUCAUCGUAAUACAAAUAGCCAAAGUUUUAGAGCAAGUACAACCAAUGUGGCUGGUU